GACGAACGCUGGCGGCGUGCUUAACACAUGCAAGUCGAACGGAAAGGCCCUGCUUGCAGGGUACUCGAGUGGCGAACGGGUGAGUAACACGUGGGUGAUCUGCCCUGCACUUCGGGAUAAGCCUGGGAAACUGGGUCUAAUACCGGAUAGGAGCCAUUUUUAGUGUGAUGGUUGGAAAGUUUUUUCGGUGUAGGAUGAGCUCGCGGCCUAUCAGCUUGUUGGUGGGGUAAUGGCCUACCAAGGCGGCGACGGGUAGCCGGCCUGAGAGGGUGGACGGCCACAUUGGGACUGAGAGACGGCCCAGACGCCUACGGGAGGCAGCAGUGGGGAAUAUUGCACAAUGGGCGCAAGCCGGAUGCAGCGACGCCGCGUGGGGGAUGACGGCCUUCGGGUUGUAAACGCCUUUCGCUAGGGACGAAGCUUUUUGUGACGGUACCUAGAGAAGAAGCACCGGCUAACUACGUG
Molecule: ribosomal RNA, 465 nt
Filed under: uncultured bacterium
Lineage: Bacteria
Description: partial 16S ribosomal RNA
Rfam family: Bacterial small subunit ribosomal RNA
Source: RNAcentral